This 450-nucleotide ribosomal RNA is filed under the name uncultured bacterium. RNAcentral's name for it is "partial 16S ribosomal RNA". It matches the Rfam family "Bacterial small subunit ribosomal RNA", at positions 354 to 796 of the family's 1533-position model. The record is from RNAcentral.
GUGGGGAAUCUUCCGCAAUGGACGAAAGUCUGACGGAGCAACGCCGCGUGAGUGAAGAAGGUUUUCGGAUCGUAAAGCUCUUUCGUUAGGGACGAACGUGCUCUUUGUGAAUAAUGAGGAGUAAUGACGGUACCUAAAUAAGAAGCCACGGCUAACUACGUGCCAGCAGCCGCGGUAAUACGUAGGUGGCAAGCGUUGUCCGGAAUUAUUGGGCGUAAAGCGCGCGCAGGCGGGAUAUCAUGUCUGUCUUAAAAGUGCGAGGCUCAACCUCGUGAGGGGACAGAAACUGGUAUUCUUGAGUGUCGGAGAGGAAAGUGGAAUUCCAAGUGUAGCGGUGAAAUGCGUAGAGAUUUGGAAGAACACCAGUGGCGAAGGCGACUUUCUGGACGAUGUCUGACGCUGAGGCGCGAAAGCUAGGGGAGCGAACGGGAUUAGAAACCCGGGUAGUCC